RNAcentral lists this ribosomal RNA (850 nucleotides) under uncultured Acidobacteriota bacterium. RNAcentral's name for it is "bacterial SSU rRNA". It matches the Rfam family "Bacterial small subunit ribosomal RNA", at positions 58 to 936 of the family's 1533-position model. Lineage: Bacteria; Pseudomonadati; Acidobacteriota. The record is from RNAcentral.
CAAGUCGAGCGAGAAAGUGGGGGCAACUCCAUGAGUACAGCGGCGACCGGGUGAGUAACACGUGACUAACCUACCCUUGAGUGGGGAAUAACUCCGGGAAACCGGAGCUAAUACCGCAUAACACCGCAAGGUCAAAGGAGCAAUUCGCUUAAGGAGGGGGUCGCGGUUGAUUAGCUAGUUGGUGGGGUAAUGGCCCACCAAGGCGAUGAUCAAUAGCCGGCCUGAGAGGGCGCACGGCCACACUGGAACUGAAACACGGUCCAGACUCCUACGGGAGGCAGCAGUGGGGAAUUUUGCGCAAUGGGGGAAACCCUGACGCAGCAACGCCGCGUGAAGGAUGAAGGUCUUUGGAUUGUAAACUUCUUUCGUUCGGGACGAUUAUGACGGUACCGGAAGAAGAAGCCCCGGCUAACUUCGUGCCAGCAGCCGCGGUAAUACGAAGGGGGCAAGCGUUGUUCGGAAUUAUUGGGCGUAAAGGGCGCGUAGGCGGUGCGGUAAGAGUGUUGUGAAAUCCUCGGGCUCAACUCGAGGCCUGCAACGCUGACUGCCGUGCUGGAGUGUGGGAGAGGUGCGUGGAAUUCCCGGUGUAGCGGUGAAAUGCGUAGAUAUCGGGAGGAACACCUGUGGCGAAAGCGGCGCACUGGACCACAACUGACGCUGAGGCGCGAAAGCUAGGGGAGCAAACAGGAUUAGAUACCCUGGUAGUCCUAGCCCUAAACGAUGAAUGCUUGGUGUGAUCGGUACCCAAUCCGAUCGUGCCGCAGCUAACGCGAUAAGCAUUCCGCCUGGGGAGUACGGUCGCAAGACUGAAACUCAAAGGAAUUGACGGGGGGCCCGCACAAGCGGUGGA